RNAcentral lists this ribosomal RNA (770 nucleotides) under uncultured marine microorganism. Its description in RNAcentral is "bacterial SSU rRNA". It matches the Rfam family "Bacterial small subunit ribosomal RNA", at positions 8 to 775 of the family's 1533-position model. The record is from RNAcentral.
AGAGUUUGAUCCUGGCUCAGAUUGAACGCUGGCGGCAGGCCUAACACAUGCAAGUCGAACGGUAACAUUUCUAGCUUGCUAGAAGAUGACGAGUGGCGGACGGGUGAGUAAUGCUUGGGAACUUGCCUUUGCGAGGGGGAUAACAGUUGGAAACGACUGCUAAUACCGCAUAACGUCUACGGACCAAACGGGGCUUAGGCUCCGGCGCAAAGAGAGGCCCAAGUGAGAUUAGCUAGUUGGUAAGGUAAUGGCUUACCAAGGCAACGAUCUCUAGCUGUUCUGAGAGGAAGAUCAGCCACACUGGAACUGAGACACGGUCCAGACUCCUACGGGAGGCAGCAGUGGGGAAUAUUGCACAAUGGGGGAAACCCUGAUGCAGCCAUGCCGCGUGUGUGAAGAAGGCCUUCGGGUUGUAAAGCACUUUCAGUUGUGAGGAAAAGUUAGUAGUUAAUACCUGCUAGCCGUGACGUUAACAACAGAAGAAGCACCGGCUAACUCCGUGCCAGCAGCCGCGGUAAUACGGAGGGUGCGAGCGUUAAUCGGAAUUACUGGGCGUAAAGCGCACGCAGGCGGUUUGUUAAGCUAGAUGUGAAAGCCCCGGGCUCAACCUGGGAUAGUCAUUUAGAACUGGCAGACUAGAGUCUUGGAGAGGGGAGUGGAAUUCCAGGUGUAGCGGUGAAAUGCGUAGAUAUCUGGAGGAACAUCAGUGGCGAAGGCGACUCCCUGGCCAAAGACUGACGCUCAUGUGCGAAAGUGUGGGUAGCGAACAG